RNAcentral lists this long non-coding RNA (1498 nucleotides) under Setaria italica (foxtail millet). RNAcentral describes it as "long non-coding RNA (SITA_LNC002036)". Lineage: Eukaryota; Viridiplantae; Streptophyta; Magnoliopsida; Poales; Poaceae. The record is from RNAcentral.
AAGGCCCGGCAGUACGCCGCGGGGCUGCCGAUGAUGUGCCGGCUGGAGCCACAGGAGUGCAGCGUCUUCUCCGGCGACCAGUACAAGUAGGUGCGGAGUGAGGUGGUGCGGCGGCGUGCAAGAGCUUGCAUGCACGCGUGCAAAUCCUGAAUAAAGUAGCUGUGACGUGGGUUCUCAGUUCUCACAUUGUUGUGUGCUACAAAUACAAUAAUGAUGAUAAGUGAUGAAUAAGGAAAUGUGGCCAGCUGGUACUGGUACGAUUCUACAUUUCUACCAGUGUAGGAAAAGUUCAGAAAGAAUUCCAAAGGAAUCACAUGGGAAUUCCAAUAAAAUCGAAAGAAAUUCUGCAUAAUUCCAACGAUUCAAACUGGACUAGUGAUUGCUGAUGAAAUGGAUAGCACAAUUAUGGAGUAUAACACAUUGAUAAAAGUGAAAAGCAUCAAUAUAAAUCCAAGGUAGCCAUCCAAUAUGAUAUUUUUAUUCAUCAUAUAAUUAUAAUAUUCAUUUUAUACAUUGUCAGACUAGUCCUGAUCAAUUCUUCAUCAUGCUGUGGUUAUUUACUCACCAAUAAAUAUAGUGCUCAUCAAUAUGUAAAUAAAACUGCCCCAUUCUACAUUAUUUCUUUGAUAAAAAUUGACAAUUGCAAGUCUUGCAAAGGGAAUUUGCAGCUCGUAUUAACAUCAUGUAAUUGGAGAGAAAUUUUAUACAAAUAAAAAAUUAUGUAAAUAGAUGGACAUAAAAUAUUUCGAAGAAAUCAGGAUCCAAUUCACAAUAAACAUGCAUCUUUCCCAAUUGCAUGGCUAAGCUUGACCACACACUCUUAAAUCGACUAGAAAUGGACUAGAGUACUAGAGUGCAUGGGGAAUGCGGCGUCUCGGUCUGUGGACCUGGAAAAUAAAAGUGACCUGCCACACUCUUCAUGCAACCGAAUUUCUAGUGAACAACGAAAUUUUGUCACAAACAAUAGCGACAUCUCUACCACGCAUACUCUGAACGAAUUUUCUAUCCAGCCAUAGUUGUUAACGGGCUCCAUCCUACGCCUCUUCCUAAUUGAAGCAUAACACCAUGUGCGCCAUGCAUGGUUAUACACCCUGAGCUAAUCGCCAGCCACUGGGUGAAAACAGACUCCUAUUUCUCAUGCGAAAGAUUAGGGUGUGCCAAUACAAUUACUAAAACGAACAGCAAUCGAGAGGAGAAACGAGCGGACCAAAAAUGGCUUCUUGGCCAGAGCACUUUCAUCCAAGGAAAGGUAGCAGCUGCCUCAUUCCCAAUUUACCGUCCACAGAGAAAGGAGCGCGUGGCAAGAAACCAAGUGGGAGAAAAAUUAGAGAGAGAGAAAGGGAAUAUUACCUUUGCGUCCUCUUGCUGUUCUUCGUUUGCGUGCAGGGAUCGGCACGAGGGUGCUCGCCCACUCUCGCGUCGAUCCGGCAAUUCCAUGGGGCUACUGAGCUCGGCCAACAGAUGUGGCUGCAAGAACCUCCUGAGCUGCAACCUCCUC